Oryza sativa Japonica Group (Japanese rice) is the source of this 734-nucleotide non-coding RNA. NCBI's taxonomy places the organism in Eukaryota, Viridiplantae, Streptophyta, Magnoliopsida, Poales, Poaceae. The record is from RefSeq and is a predicted model, not a curated record.
UCCCCAUCCCCGACCCCAUCCUUAUCCCUAAUCCCGUCGACACCUAGCCGCGUCCGCUCCACUACCGCCGACGGCAAGAACCCUGCCCAGCCACCGUCUCCAUCUCCUUCAUCCCUUCCGCUCCUCUGGUCCUUCCUCUUCCCCUACCGCAGCCACUCAUCGUCGGGUGGUGCUAGCCAUCGAGGGAGGUGGAUGUGGCUUUGCUAGUGGUCGGGGACGACGGUGAUGACGAUUUAGUUUUUCCCGUAAGGCGGAGCAGAUGCCUUACGCCCUGGACACGCCUUACCGCCUUAUGGACGCUAAGGCGUCGCCUUACAGACGCCUUAACAACCAUGCUUAGUAGACUAGUAAAAAUAUUUUUUGUUUCUACUUUCAUAUUGUGUUUCUAGUAAUACCUCCGUUCCAAAUUUGUGGUCGUUUUGACUUCUUGUUUGUAACGUUUGACUAUUCAUCUUAUUUGAAAAAUUAGUGCAAAUAUAAAAAAAGACAAGUCAUACUUAAAGUACUUUUGGUAAUAAAGCAAGUCACAAACAAAAUAAAAAAAUUAUUCCAUAACUUUUUUAAUAAGACAAAUGAUCAAAAUUUACAAACAAAAACUCAAAGCGACAAAUAUUUUGGGACGAAAAUAGUAGUAUUUUUAUUUUUAUUUCUGUUAGUAACCAUUUCUUCAGAGGGUGUAUAUGUAAUAAUUGGAUGUAUAUUCUGUGAACCAAAAGCCAGAAUUAAUUAUAUUA